GAAAAUGAAAAGAGAAUUGAAUUGAUGCGUUCGUUGAAACGUUUUCCUUGAGAUUUGAGUUCAUGAUGUAAGAGGAGAGUCGAGAUUGAGUGUGAUGAGCAUUAUGUUGUACUUGAAUGUUUUUGAGUGCUAUAAGUGUUUAAAAAUGAGCUUUGAUGAGUUUUCUUUGAAGGAAUGUUGAGUUGAGCAUUUAAAGAGUUUGAGAUGAGAUUUUGGUGAAUUUCGU
Molecule: long non-coding RNA, 226 nt
Filed under: Salvia miltiorrhiza (redroot sage)
Lineage: Eukaryota; Viridiplantae; Streptophyta; Magnoliopsida; Lamiales; Lamiaceae
Description: long non-coding RNA (SMIL_LNC002265)
Source: RNAcentral